This 334-nucleotide ribosomal RNA is filed under the name uncultured Arthrobacter sp. RNAcentral describes it as "bacterial SSU rRNA". It matches the Rfam family "Bacterial small subunit ribosomal RNA", at positions 1 to 335 of the family's 1533-position model. The record is from RNAcentral. Lineage: Bacteria; Bacillati; Actinomycetota; Actinomycetes; Micrococcales; Micrococcaceae.
UAGUGAGUUUGAUCCUGGCUCAGGAUGAACGCUGGCGGCGUGCUUAACACAUGCAAGUCGAACGAUGAUCCGGUGCUUGCACCGGGGAUUAGUGGCGAACGGGUGAGUAACACGUGAGUAACCUGCCCUUAACUCUGGGAUAAGCCUGGGAAACUGGGUCUAAUACCGGAUAUGACUCCUCAUCGCAUGGUGGGGGGUUGAAAGCUUUAUUGUGGUUUUGGAUGGACUCGCGGCCUAUCAGCUUGUUGGUGAGGUAAUGGCUUACCAAGGGCGACGACGGGUAGCCGGCCUGAGAGGGUGACCGGCCACACUGGGGACUGAGACACGGCCCAGA